RNAcentral lists this long non-coding RNA (1383 nucleotides) under Betta splendens (Siamese fighting fish). Its description in RNAcentral is "lncRNA (ENSBSLG00000004294.1)". Lineage: Eukaryota; Metazoa; Chordata; Actinopteri; Anabantiformes; Osphronemidae. The record is from RNAcentral.
CCACGUUUAGUCAUGACAGGACCAUCUUUCUUCAUACACCUGUUUUUUUUCAGUAAAUGGCCUUCAUCAGCUGUACGUUGUUGGUCUCAGCAGAAGAUGGUCUCAGACAAACGUGGUUGGACAACAUGGCUGAGCGGUGGAGUUACUGUAUGGAGAGCAGUGGGCCAGGCCCUCACCAGCACCAGCACCAGCACCAGCACCAGCACCAGCACCGGUCGGGCAGGAUCCUGCAGGAGUGGGUUGAGCGUUGGAUUAGUUGAGAUGCUGCUCAUCAGCAACCUGGAGACAGGGCGAGAGAGCAGACAGAGGUCCGGAUGGUGCAGGUUCACACGUUUCUCCGGCUUUGCUGCAAAGCUGCCUCCGGAGGAGGAAGCAGCGCUGCCAAGGUGACUGUCAGCUCCCAGUCACUGCACUGUGGGCUCUGAACUCGCUCUUGCUCGGGAGCGCUGGGCUUCCGACGCCCCUAAAGUGUUUUCAUGUUCCUUCAAGUCGCUGACGCACCUCUUUCUGCGCGUAGUAAACAAAAGCAUGAGCCCGUUUGAAUGCGCUACCUGGAGCUGCUCAGCCCACGCUACGCUGAGAUAAAAAGUAUUGAUUGUAAUCCACAGUGUUGAAUAGAAAAACACAGAUUAAUGAGCUCCCUGCAGUUUGUCUACGGUCCAGACAGAAAGUUAAUGUACCUGAAGAGGGUAAACUCUUAACCUGCAGUUUGAGGACUAUGGAAAAAUCAUUGCCAACACUUUGCAAACAACAGACUUUCUAUCAAAUCUUGAUUACAUCUGACAGAACCUCGUCUUUCUGUCACACCGCUGCUGGAAACGGCUUCAUUAUGCAGAUUUUCUUGUGAUAAGACAAAGCAGGUUUGACGAUAUCAAAUAAUGACUGUCUCCAUCGUCUUAAAGGAUGUGAUGCAUCUGUAAGGUCUGUGUGUGACGUGUUAACGUGUUAGCUUCAUAGUUACAUACCACUCUGUUAAACAAAUAACUCACUAUAGUGAUUUUUUGGGGGGGAGGCUUAGUGUUUCUGAAAAGAAGGAGCAAACGAAUCACCAGAUAAAAUUGGUAAAAGCACAGUGAUGCAUUGUGUACAAUAGGAGCAUCUCGACCCUCCUCCUUGUUCCUUUAUCAUACACCCACUUCUUGAGUUACAAACACUUUGAAACAUGCGGUGUGCUCGAACUUAGCAGCACUGAAGCAGGCUGCGAUACUGUGCAGACUCUAAGAUUUUGGACAGUGAUGAAUUUUCUAUUGAUUUAGCUUUGUACUCAAGAACAAUUGGAUUUUAGGUUAAACAAUGACAAAGGUUAAACUGCUGAAUUUCACUUUAACUUUGAGGUAAUUCAAACAAAUGUUUAGGCACGAAAGCUGAGAAAUAGUUUUAAAU